UUUAUGGAGAGUUUGAUCCUGGCUCAGGAUGAACGCUGGCGGCGUGCCUAAUACAUGCAAGUCGAGCGAACAGACGAGGAGCUUGCUCCUUUGACGUUAGCGGCGGACGGGUGAGUAACACGUAGGUAACCUACCUAUAAGACUGGGAUAACUUCGGGAAACCGGAGCUAAUACCGGAUAAUAUUUCGAACCGCAUGGUUCGAUAGUGAAAGAUGGCUUUGCUAUCACUUAUAGAUGGACCUGCGCCGUAUUAGCUAGUUGGUAAGGUAACGGCUUACCAAGGCAACGAUACGUAGCCGACCUGAGAGGGUGAUCGGCCACACUGGAACUGAGACACGGUCCAGACUCCUACGGGAGGCAGCAGUAGGGAAUCUUCCGCAAUGGGCGAAAGCCUGACGGAGCAACGCCGCGUGAGUGAUGAAGGUCUUCGGAUCGUAAAACUCUGUUAUUAGGGAAGAACAAACGUGUAAGUAACUGUGCACGUCUUGACGGUACCUAAUCAGAAAGCCACGGCUAACUACGUGCCAGCAGCCGCGGUAAUACGUAGGUGGCAAGCGUUAUCCGGAAUUAUUGGGCGUAAAGCGCGCGUAGGCGGUUUUUUAAGUCUGAUGUGAAAGCCCACGGCUCAACCGUGGAGGGUCAUUGGAAACUGGAAAACUUGAGUGCAGAAGAGGAAAGUGGAAUUCCAUGUGUAGCGGUGAAAUGCGCAGAGAUAUGGAGGAACACCAGUGGCGAAGGCGACUUUCUGGUCUGUAACUGACGCUGAUGUGCGAAAGCGUGGGGA
Molecule: ribosomal RNA, 784 nt
Filed under: Listeria monocytogenes
Lineage: Bacteria; Bacillati; Bacillota; Bacilli; Caryophanales; Listeriaceae
Description: bacterial SSU rRNA
Rfam family: Bacterial small subunit ribosomal RNA
Source: RNAcentral